UAGAAGUAAGUAUAGAGGAAGUACGGAGAGUUUUGAUCUCUCUAGAGUGGGUUCAAUUCCCAUCCUUCUAA
This 71-nucleotide transfer RNA is filed under the name Oreolalax multipunctatus (dotted lazy toad). Its description in RNAcentral is "tRNA-Gln". It matches the Rfam family "tRNA". From Rfam's summary of the family: Transfer RNA (tRNA) molecules are approximately 80 nucleotides in length. The record is from RNAcentral. Lineage: Eukaryota; Metazoa; Chordata; Amphibia; Anura; Megophryidae.